UUAAGCGACUAAGCGUACACGGUGGAUGCCCUGGCAGUCAGAGGCGAUGAAGGACGUGCUAAUCUGCGAUAAGCGUCGGUAAGGUGAUAUGAACCGUUAUAACCGGCGAUUUCCGAAUGGGGAAACCCAGUGUGUUUCGACACACUAUCAUUAACUGAAUCCAUAGGUUAAUGAGGCGAACCGGGGGAACUGAAACAUCUAAGUACCCCGAGGAAAAGAAAUCAACCGAGAUUCCCCCAGUAGCGGCGAGCGAACGGGGAGCAGCCCAGAGCCUGAAUCAGUGUGUGUGUUAGUGGAAGCGUCUGGAAAGGCGCGCGAUACAGGGUGACAGCCCCGUACACAAAAAUGCACAUGCUGUGAGCUCGAUGAGUAGGGCGGGACACGUGGUAUCCUGUCUGAAUAUGGGGGGACCAUCCUCCAAGGCUAAAUACUCCUGACUGACCGAUAGUGAACCAGUACCGUGAGGGAAAGGCGAAAAGAACCCCGGCGAGGGGAGUGAAAAAGAACCUGAAACCGUGUACGUACAAGCAGUGGGAGCACGCUUAGGCGUGUGACUGCGUACCUUUUGUAUAAUGGGCCAGCGACUUAUAUUCUGUAGCAAGGUUAACCGAAUAGGGGAGCCGAAGGGAAACCGAGUCUUAACUGGGCGUUAAGUUGCAGGGUAUAGACCCGAAACCCGGUGAUCUAGCCAUGGGCAGGUUGAAGGUUGGGUAACACUAACUGGAGGACCGAACCGACUAAUGUUGAAAAAUUAGCGGAUGACUUGUGGCUGGGGGUGAAAGGCCAAUCAAACCGGGAGAUAGCUGGUUCUCCCCGAAAGCUAUUUAGGUAGCGCCUCGUGAAUUCAUCUCCGGGGGUAGAGCACUGUUUCGGCAAGGGGGUCAUCCCGACUUACCAACCCGAUGCAAACUGCGAAUACCGGAGAAUGUUAUCACGGGAGACACACGGCGGGUGCUAACGUCCGUCGUGAAGAGGGAAACAACCCAGACCGCCAGCUAAGGUCCCAAAGUCAUGGUUAAGUGGGAAACGAUGUGGGAAGGCCCAGACAGCCAGGAUGUUGGCUUAGAAGCAGCCAUCAUUUAAAGAAAGCGUAAUAGCUCACUGGUCGAGUCGGCCUGCGCGGAAGAUGUAACGGGGCUAAACCAUGCACCGAAGCUGCGGCAGCGACGCUUAUGCGUUGUUGGGUAGGGGAGCGUUCUGUAAGCCUGUGAAGGUGUACUGUGAGGUAUGCUGGAGGUAUCAGAAGUGCGAAUGCUGACAUAAGUAACGAUAAAGCGGGUGAAAAGCCCGCUCGCCGGAAGACCAAGGGUUCCUGUCCAACGUUAAUCGGGGCAGGGUGAGUCGACCCCUAAGGCGAGGCCGAAAGGCGUAGUCGAUGGGAAACAGGUUAAUAUUCCUGUACUUGGUGUUACUGCGAAGGGGGGACGGAGAAGGCUAUGUUGGCCGGGCGACGGUUGUCCCGGUUUAAGCGUGUAGGCUGGUUUUCCAGGCAAAUCCGGAAAAUCAAGGCCGAGGCGUGAUGACGAGGCACUACGGUGCUGAAGCAACAAAUGCCCUGCUUCCAGGAAAAGCCUCUAAGCAUCAGGUAACAUCAAAUCGUACCCCAAACCGACACAGGUGGUCAGGUAGAGAAUACCAAGGCGCUUGAGAGAACUCGGGUGAAGGAACUAGGCAAAAUGGUGCCGUAACUUCGGGAGAAGGCACGCUGAUACGUAGGUGAAGCGACUUGCUCGUGGAGCUGAAAUCAGUCGAAGAUACCAGCUGGCUGCAACUGUUUAUUAAAAACACAGCACUGUGCAAACACGAAAGUGGACGUAUACGGUGUGACGCCUGCCCGGUGCCGGAAGGUUAAUUGAUGGGGUUAGCGCAAGCGAAGCUCUUGAUCGAAGCCCCGGUAAACGGCGGCCGUAACUAUAACGGUCCUAAGGUAGCGAAAUUCCUUGUCGGGUAAGUUCCGACCUGCACGAAUGGCGUAAUGAUGGCCAGGCUGUCUCCACCCGAGACUCAGUGAAAUUGAACUCGCUGUGAAGAUGCAGUGUACCCGCGGCAAGACGGAAAGACCCCGUGAACCUUUACUAUAGCUUGACACUGAACAUUGAGCCUUGAUGUGUAGGAUAGGUGGGAGGCUUUGAAGUGUGGACGCCAGUCUGCAUGGAGCCGACCUUGAAAUACCACCCUUUAAUGUUUGAUGUUCUAACGUGGACCCGUGAUCCGGGUUGCGGACAGUGUCUGGUGGGUAGUUUGACUGGGGCGGUCUCCUCCUAAAGAGUAACGGAGGAGCACGAAGGUUGGCUAAUCCUGGUCGGACAUCAGGAGGUUAGUGCAAUGGCAUAAGCCAGCUUGACUGCGAGCGUGACGGCGCGAGCAGGUGCGAAAGCAGGUCAUAGUGAUCCGGUGGUUCUGAAUGGAAGGGCCAUCGCUCAACGGAUAAAAGGUACUCCGGGGAUAACAGGCUGAUACCGCCCAAGAGUUCAUAUCGACGGCGGUGUUUGGCACCUCGAUGUCGGCUCAUCACAUCCUGGGGCUGAAGUAGGUCCCAAGGGUAUGGCUGUUCGCCAUUUAAAGUGGUACGCGAGCUGGGUUUAGAACGUCGUGAGACAGUUCGGUCCCUAUCUGCCGUGGGCGCUGGAGAACUGAGGGGGGCUGCUCCUAGUACGAGAGGACCGGAGUGGACGCAUCACUGGUGUUCGGGUUGUCAUGCCAAUGGCACUGCCCGGUAGCUAAAUGCGGAAGAGAUAAGUGCUGAAAGCAUCUAAGCACGAAACUUGCCCCGAGAUGAGUUCUCCCUGACCCUUUAAGGGUCCUGAAGGAACGUUGAAGACGACGACGUUGAUAGGCCGGGUGUGUAAGCGCAGCGAUGCGUUGAGCUAACCGGUACUAAUGAACCGUGAGGCUUAACCUU
Molecule: ribosomal RNA, 2902 nt
Filed under: Shigella flexneri K-272
Lineage: Bacteria; Pseudomonadati; Pseudomonadota; Gammaproteobacteria; Enterobacterales; Enterobacteriaceae
Description: bacterial LSU rRNA
Rfam family: Bacterial large subunit ribosomal RNA
Source: RNAcentral